AGGUGGCCAUCCCCAUGGAACCUCUAGUACCACUGGCCCUGCAUCUCCCUACUGGCCUGGCAUGAUCCAUACAUGCAUCAGGACUAAGUCCAAAUGUGCAUGGUGGGGCCACCCAUGUGUGCUGAUGCUCUGUGACUGGCACGCUUCAAGGCACAACACAGCCGGCAUACGGAAGAUGCUGCCAAAGACUAGGGUAAUUGUCUGGUGCCACAUGGUGCUGUUCCUUGGGAACAGAGACAUGCAUUGAAUGUUUCCUGAAGCACCCUGGUGCAGGUGCAGAUAUCCAGGCAAAUCAAGAGGGCUGCAGCAAAUAAAGCCUUUGUUCUGGGAUUUGUAGUCAGAAACCAGGAGACACAAAAGCCUCAGAAAAUCCUCAUUUCCCUUCCAAUCCCUUUUUCUCCUCAGCCAUUGGCUUUAAACUUUUCUGUACCUCUCAGGAUCACUGUGAGGCUGUCUUGAGCACCCUUUUUUAGAUCUGGAACAUGCAGAUAAUGGCUUGCCUGCUCCCUGACUCACUGCUGCCAGCUAUUGAAAAGGGGGUGAAAAUAGGUAGGUCUGAACUAAUUUAAUGGAUCUACUCUGAUCAUUAGAUGGAAUUUUGCAAUGUGGUUGCUUGCGAGAGCAGGAGACUGGACAAAAUGACUUGGGAGCUGCCUUCAAGUCAUUGUGUGUAUAUUGCUGUGUAUUUUAAGAACUGCAACCCCUUGUUGGGAGACAGAGCUGUCUAUCACUCAUUUCACAAAUGAGGUAUAAAUAAGGGCCUCAGUAAAGUCACUGGUAAAGUCAGCCAUUCUCCUCUCCAGUGGCUGAGGAGAACUGAUGUUGCUAAGAUUCUUUCCAAAGAAAUCGCACCCCUUAGCUACUGUAGCUCUUAGCAAACUGCCCAUCCAGAUAUAGCUAUGCGAAUAGAAAGGAUUUUCUGCUUGCAGAGAAAAGCAAAAGGCAUUUAAUCAGAAACUGGUUUAAGUUUGGCAGGACAUUCCUACCCUGGGAUGUGCAAUAGCUGUGGAUUGCAAGGUAUGGAAAAAAUUAAGCAAUAAGACAAGAGGCUCUUUAGAAAAUGGGUAGCGUCAAGUACUCCUAAUUUCAUUUGAGGACGAAGUUACAAAUCUGUGAUGAUAUGGAAACCCCCCAUAAAGUAUAGAAAUGGUGUACAAUGGCUUGGUUAUAGGAAUGCAUCUCGUACAAAUACCUUAAUUGACUUGAAUCAGACCAUAGCAAGAAAAAAUAAAUAGCAAGAGGAAAAGAAUUGAAUAAGACAUGUCUCCUCCUCAGUAAACACUAAAGAGACAAUGACUAACCUGUUAAUUGUAAAUUGGCUGGAAGUAGAUCACCUGGCCCUAGCCAGCCUACAAGACUGGUUUUGAGUAGCAGGUCCAAGGCCUGGGAUACAGAAGAUCAAAAGAAUUUUAAUGGUUUAAAAAGACUCACUUUGGAUGCGGUUGGGAUAGUUUGAUCUCCCUACAAAAACUGACUUGGCUUGAACAUUACUGGAUUGUCUGUAGAAGUUUGGCCUGUCUAGGUUACAAUAAGAGAUGGGAAGAUUUAGGUAAGAUAGACAUACAUGUAGACUAGUGGUGCCCAACCUUUUCACCCUGCGAACUGGACUAGUGGUUCCCAUCCAUGGGCUAGAUUGUGGGGUGAGGGUGGUGGGGGCUCGAUCUGGCUG
Gavialis gangeticus (Gharial) is the source of this 1669-nucleotide long non-coding RNA. RefSeq lists it as uncharacterized. NCBI's taxonomy places the organism in Eukaryota, Metazoa, Chordata, Crocodylia, Gavialidae. The transcript has 3 exons. The record is from RefSeq and is a predicted model, not a curated record.